AUUGAACGCUGGCGGCAGGCCUAACACAUGCAAGUCGAGCGGAUGAAGGGAGCUUGCUCCUGGAUUCAGCGGCGGACGGGUGAGUCAUGCCUAGGAAUCUGCCUGGUAGUGGGGGAUAACGUCCGGAAACGGGCGCUAAUAUCGCAUACGUCCUGAGGGAGAAAGUGGGGGAUCCUCGGACCUCACGCUAUCAGAUGAGCCUAGGUCGGAGUAGCUAGUUGGUGGGGUAAAGGCCUACCAAGGCGACGAUCCGUAACUGGUCUGAGAGGAUGAUCAGUCAGACUGGAACUGAGACACGGUACAGACUCCUACAGGAGGCAGCAGUGGGGAAUAUUGGACGAUGGGGGAAAGCCUGAUCCAGCCAUGCCGCGGGUGUGAAGAAGGACUUCGGAUGGGAAAGCGCUGUAAGUUGGAAGGAAGGACAGUAAGUUAAUACCUUGCUGUUUUGACGUUACCAACAGAAUAAGCACCGGCUAACUUCGUG
RNAcentral lists this ribosomal RNA (484 nucleotides) under uncultured bacterium. RNAcentral's name for it is "partial 16S ribosomal RNA". It matches the Rfam family "Bacterial small subunit ribosomal RNA", at positions 30 to 507 of the family's 1533-position model. The record is from RNAcentral.